Anguilla rostrata (American eel) is the source of this 4029-nucleotide long non-coding RNA. RefSeq lists it as uncharacterized. The transcript has 2 exons. The record is from RefSeq and is a predicted model, not a curated record. NCBI's taxonomy places the organism in Eukaryota, Metazoa, Chordata, Actinopteri, Anguilliformes, Anguillidae.
UGCAGCUCUGAGAGUAGAGUUUGGGGGGGGGUGGGAAAGGGUGCAUUAUGGCCUUUUGGGUAGGCAUUGCCAGGGUGUGGCUUGGGUUUGCAGGCUGAUGCUGGAUGGGAGCAGCUGUGUUUUUGGUGCCAGCGCUGCCCUGGAGAGAGAUCGAUAAUGAGUCCUGCAGAUUAUGUUACACGCCACAGCACCACUUCUAUGCCGGUAAGCUGCCACCGCAGCCCUUUCCCUGAGGCUUCACUCCCCAUCGAUGUGCUGUUAUCUUUGUGUGCCCAGCUUCAGUACAAAUCCUCACACCUAAUCAGGAAGCACUCCAUCCACAGAGGGAAGAGUGAAUUAGGUUCCGCAGUAGGUAAAAACUGGUGUGUGAUAAAUAAUAAAGAUGUGGGGAGAAGGGGAUGUUGUUGGAAAAGUGCGUUUGGCAGGUACCGCACCCCCCUGACUCCAAAUCUGAUCAUCUUCCUGUCCCCCGCAUGUGCUCACCCUGCAAAUCUCUUGUCCCUGUCUUGGCUGCCGGGACGAAGGAAAGUGGCCACGCUGUUUGACGCUGAUGAAUGUGGACGCUUGCUUCUCAGGCAGCGGCGCUCUUGCUCGCCGACGACUGCAAUCCUCGGGAGGAAAUGAACUUAAAUGAGCUGCUCUGCAUAACUACAAAGGACACAUCUGCGUUACUGUGAAGUCUGAAGAUGCAGAACUGCACAGCAAUAAGCUCUGCAGCUACCGCGCACGUUAUUACUGUAGAUCCUGGGUUCUCAACAGGGGGUCUGCAGAGGUGCCCUAGGGGGUCCCUGAUUGCACUCUCAAGCACAACCACCCCUCCCCCCACCACCACCAGUUUUUGCUCUUUAUUAAAUUUUUUCUUUUUUUUUUAACUAUAACCCUUUUAACUUAUUAUGGUGGGCCCCCUGAUGCCUUUAAGCCUGGGUGGGCAUCCCUGGAUCAAGGCUUGUUGAAAACUCCUUCUGUGGUUUAUAAAAUCAGAUGACAGUCAUUAUUGCUGUUACUAUCCACGUACUUUUAUUUCUUACUGUAGAUGUAUAUUUAAACAAAUUAUGUUCAAAAUCACCAUUUCCUCCGUAAGAGUGGCAAUUGGGUACAGUUCACAAUUGAAUAAUAAUAAUAAUAAUAAUAAUAAUAAUAAUAAUAAUAAUAAAUAAGCUGUCUAAAUUCAUUCAAGAUCAUUUUAAAUUCAAGAUAAUUGUUCCUUGUGUUGUUUCAUUGGAAAUUGCAGCUUGUUUUACUGAAAUUGCACUUUAAAUCCAAAGGAAAACACGAUAAUUUGUGUUGCAAGUAUACUGUUAGGGUGAGCAAUUAGUGUUCAGAAUCAGUAUAGUGCUACUGCAUCCUAUGUACCCACAGACCUGUGCUACAUUUAUUUUCUUUCUUCAGCUUUUCCAUCCCCUGUCUAGCUUGUCUAGCCUGUCACAAGAGGUUUCUGGCUGCCUGACAUUCCUCCUUGUGUCAGUGUGGUGGGGGAGAAUUAAGUGACUUUUCAACGGUGGCUCCUGUUUAAAAACAGACUGUCCAACCGCAGCUGCCGCACUGCAUGUGCAACCAAUCAGCAGACUCCCCGCCAAAAUCAGUCAUUUGUUUUUCUGUGUAAGCGCGCCAACGCUCAUGUACCUGGGGGCCUAAUCUACUGUGUUUUUCAGUCUCGUGAGUUGGAACGCCAAUAACAGCCUUCACUCUUCACCCAAAGCAAGGUCUGCAGCUCCGCCUCCUCCCGCCCUCCCCUCAGGCAGCACUUCCUGCUAAAACCGUCUGCUCACCAAUUGCUCACUUCCUCUUCACACAGGAGAGACAAUACUGGAUAUUGUGUGACAGCCAUGCAGACCAGUGUUGGUUUAUACUCCUGAGGGGUAUCGUUCUUAUCCUAAAUAAAUCCUGAGACCAGUGUUUGAAAUUCAGCAAUAUUUUAAAAGGAUAAAACAUGUUUCCCAUGUUUUAUUAUCUGCUAACUGGAUGCUAAUGGGCUGCUAGUGCACACCAUUGUUCAUUCACCCAGAUGGUUUUAUUUCCUAAAAUGGAAUGGAAAUUCAUAAUCAAUUUAUAAUCAUAAUCUAUAUGUGAUGAUAUAAUGCUGAAUACAAUUAUUUAGUCUUCAUGUGAAACAUUCUGAAAUUGCUUUCUUCAUCAGUACAAAGGAAUACCUUUCUUCAGCUCCUUCAGGGAGCUUGAUGAUGCAGCUAUUGUUGCGCUGAGAGCAGUUUUCUAGAUUGAUAAUCUUUAUUACAGACAAUUAAACUUUGGAGCACAGUAUUUUUCUGUUCCCUCUGGUCUCUCAAAAACAAUUUUCAAAAUUGGCUUUUGGACAUCUGCUUGGUGAGGUGAAUUCUAAGUGUGCUAUUAAUUGUGUCGUGGUUAACUUUACACCUAUUUUUGUCUUGCAUAACUAGGGCUAUUACUGCAUAGAUAUGGAGGACAUCUACCAUGAGGAGAGGACCGCGUCCAUUUUGAGUUCUCUUAGCGGAUCCAAAACACCGGUGCCAUCACAGGUAUUUACAGUGUUCCUGUCGUCAGAAGACCAGGUUACCAGCUGUGGGGUGGAUCACUGUGUGAGUGUCUUUCACCAAAGAGAAUCCACCUUUAGGGCUAAUACACAAGCCUUCAUGGGGGAUCCUGCUUGUACUUUACAGCAUUUCCAGCCAAUGAGGAAUGGCUCAAAACUGGUGUAUUUUUCUUUUUGUUGGAUAAUGUUGUAGUGAGUGUUCCUGCAGUAGUGUUCAUCAUCACACGCACGCGCGCACACACACACACACACACUCAAUUCCACAAUUCCGCAAUUUUAGACACACUGUAGAUUAACCAUCUGAUGGAAACUGCUUUAAAUGCAUGUAGCAUUUUUAAUCACCUAAUUGUGGAACUUUUUCAAACAACUGAAUUCUGUACUUUUAUUCCAUGUUGUUCAUUCAUUGAGAGAGAAAUAUAACAUAACCACAGCACUGUACAUUUGUCUGAACUGCUAUAAAAUGUUUUCUGUGCUAGACAGUGGAUGACGACAUGGACAUGUAUGGUUUGAUGACUUUGAUUCGAGGAAGUUCCAUAAUUUGACAAGUGACUCACUGGGGACACACAGUGGCUGCAGCAGGAACAGAGGACAGAAUAAAUUGGCUGUACAAGGUCUCCCCCUAGUGAGAGUACAUUGAAAGUUAGUAUGAAUAAUUGAAUGCGCCACCAUUUUAAUGAUGAAGCAUAAGAUUUGAGAACUCCCUUUGACCCUAGAACCUGAUGAUGUUAUGCAAUAAAUUGAUUAAAUGAGUAUCAAUGCAUCCUGUCUGUCAGGCAGGCAAUGUCAAGGGAAACCCCAUGUUGGCAGUCCUCAUACUCAUUCAAUUCUGUACCUUACAAAAAAUUGGUUAAUACAGCUAUAGGCACUAUGUUUGACAUUCAGGGCAGGCCAUACCAAAAUAGAGCGGAAGACCAAUGUCACUGCUGACAUUGUAGCUUGGUUUAAUUAUUGCUUGAUCUAGUGUCUCUACACAGUACCUCACAAAUAAGAUCUGAAAAUCUUUAAUAUGUGAUGUCGCCAUUAUGCUCACAAGGAGAGAGUGUUCAUUUAUCUGUAACUUUAAAAAUAUGUGUUGCAUUGCAGAUUCAACUGAACCAAUACUUAUACAAGGGAAGAAAUCAGUAUUCCCUUAAUCCUCCCUGGUCAUUAUGCACAGCUCAGGAGAAGAAAGGGUGUGCACCCCCCUCCCCCCUCCUCUCAUUCACUAAAUAAAAUAUACUUGGUAAGAAGUCAAGUAUAUUUUUGCAUCUAGGUCUGGAAUUCUGCAUUUUAUCUAAGGCUUUUUUUUCUAAGAAAUAUUCUGCAGUCUUUUGGUUUUUGAAUAUCAGCCUUGGCACAUCUUUGGUUUAUUUUCGGACAAACAUGCUGUGGUUUGGUUAUUUUCUUUCAUUCAUUCCUGGUGUGACUGUAACCUGUCCAUGUCUAUAACAUUUGUUAAUUGUUUUAAGGUAGUUGAACCUCGUCUUUACAUUAGACGUGAAUAUUUGCUGUAACGUUAUAAAUGUAUUAAUUUUAUUCUG